Molecule: ribosomal RNA, 495 nt
Filed under: uncultured bacterium
Lineage: Bacteria
Description: bacterial SSU rRNA
Rfam family: Bacterial small subunit ribosomal RNA
Source: RNAcentral
GGCAGCAGUGGGGAAUUUUCCGCAAUGGGCGAAAGCCUGACGGAGCAAUACCGCGUGAGGGAUGACGGCCUAUGGGUUGUAAACCUCUUUUUUCAGGGAGGAAUCAAUGACGUGUACCUGAAGAAUAAGCAUCGGCUAACUCCGUGCCAGCAGCCGCGGUAAGACGGAGGAUGCAAGUGUUAUCCGGAAUCACUGGGCGUAAAGCGUCUGUAGGUGGUCAAAUAAGUCAACUGUUAAAUCUUGAGGCUCAACCUCAAAAUCGCAGUCGAAACUAUUCGACUAGAGUAUAGUAGGGGUAAAGGGAAUUUCCAGUGGAGCGGUGAAAUGCGUAGAGAUUGGAAAGAACACCGAUGGCGAAGGCACUUUACUGGGCUAUUACUAACACUGAGAGACGAAAGCUAGGGUAGCAAAUGGGAUUAGAUACCCCAGUAGUCCUAGCCGUAAACAAUGGAUACUAGAUGUUGAACAGAUCGACCUGUGCAGUAUCAAAGCUAA